This 453-nucleotide ribosomal RNA is filed under the name uncultured Porphyromonadaceae bacterium. Its description in RNAcentral is "partial 16S ribosomal RNA". It matches the Rfam family "Bacterial small subunit ribosomal RNA", at positions 341 to 792 of the family's 1533-position model. The record is from RNAcentral. Lineage: Bacteria; Pseudomonadati; Bacteroidota; Bacteroidia; Bacteroidales; Porphyromonadaceae.
ACGGAAGGCAGCAGUGAGGAAUAUUGGUCAAUGGGCGGAAGCCUGGACCAGCCAAGUCGCGUGAAGGAUGAAGGUAUUAUGUAUUGUAAACUUCUUUAGCCAGGGGGCAAUAAGGCGUACGCGUACGCCGAUGAGAGUACCUGGAGAAUAAGGAUCGGCUAACUCCGUGCCAGCAGCCGCGGUAAUACGGAGGAUCCGAGCGUUAUCCGGAUUUAUUGGGUUUAAAGGGUGCGCAGGCGGCUUUCUAAGUCAGUGGUUAAAUCGUGACGCUCAACGUCAUCACGCCAUUGAUACUGGAGAGCUUGAUUGCGGUCGAGGUUUGCGGAAUUCGUCGUGUAGCGGUGAAAUGCAUAGAUAUGACGAAGAACACCGAUUGCGUAGGCAGCAGACCAGGCCGUAAAUGACGCUCAUGCACGAAAGUGCGGGGAUCGAACAGGAUUAGAUACCCUGGUA